This is an RNA transcript of Fukomys damarensis (Damara mole-rat), 4803 nucleotides long. RefSeq lists it as uncharacterized. The record is from RefSeq and is a predicted model, not a curated record. The transcript is spliced from 14 exons. NCBI's taxonomy places the organism in Eukaryota, Metazoa, Chordata, Mammalia, Rodentia, Bathyergidae.
CUAAAUCCCUGGCCUAUAAUUGUUUCCAAUGUGAUGUACUGUGCUGUCACAGGCCCAGAGUAACAGGACCAAGUGACUAUGGAAUGAAACUCUGAACGUCAGGAUGACUCCAGCACCCUGUACCUUGCUUGACAGACAGACGUGGAGCCAGGUCUCUAAGGGAGAGACUCCGGGAUUGAACCCAGAAUGGAAGCAGGUCCCCUGCCUGUGACUUGCCCUGUGCACUGACUGCACAGCAACCAGUUUGCCCCAUCUGGAGAGAAGAUGGAGAGCCUGAGAAGGUGAUCAGAUUGCCCCAUUCCUACUUGAGGUCAAGGGCAGAGCAAAGCUGGAGCUCAUGUUGCUGUGUGGGGCUGUGAGUCUUCUGACUGUGAAAUGGCACAGCCUUGAAGCCCCUGCAGCUUCUGUAAGGUCAAUCUUACAUCCCAGGAAGAGAGGAGUGGAGAAAACAUCUUGCUCCCUGCACUGCUGACCGCCUCUUCGAGUCAGCUUCUCAUUCAGAGCACGGAAGCAGAGGUUUUGGGAAGGUGACCUAGGUCUUCAAGGUGAAGCAACGCUGGAAUCUGCCAGAAACUAUUUCAGGUCAUGGAGAAGAUAUUUUUUCAUAUGGAGAGCAUUGGGCCUCAACACAAGAAACCAGACCUUUUUUUGGCUGCCAGUCAGCAGCUGAGCCCUGUGGCUGCCUGCCAGGCUGGGUGACUGAGUGAGAGUUCAGAAUGGCCGAGGUCAGAGGCAGCCGCCAGUGCAGAGCCUCCUACCGAGCUGAGUGAACCUUUUAUUCAUUUCCUGGGAACUGGGAGAAGCUGAGCCAGUGCCUCACCCACUGCAGUCUCAGGCUGCUAAGCUUUUGCGUCCUCUUUUAACUGUAUAGGGGUUAUUUUCUGGGCCUUCAUCCAGGCCACUGGGACUCUGGGAACCGCCUUUUUUUGCUUGGAGUAUGUGUGUGGUGAGUGUUUGGAUGUGUUCCAGCUGUGGUUCCUAGAAUGACAGUGGCUUCCAGUCUCUCCAUGUGGAAUAUUAGCCUCUCACCUGUCCAGGGCUGCCUGCCCUGUCUUCCUCUAUGGUUCCCUGACUUAGCCCCACUUGAGCACACUUUCAACCAGGAUAUGGCGUCCCUUGGCCCCAAAGGUCUUCGGGAGGGCCCAUCAUCCAGCAAGAAUAGCUGUUGUUCUGCAGCAGCUGUCAUGAAGGGUCCCUGCCAGCCCCUGAGGGCCCCUGGGGCACAGUUAUGACCGCAUCUGGCUGUAUCAGAUUCCUAUUAGUUGAGGUCGGACUUGAGUGAGCCCUGUGGCUUUCUCCUGGCAAUGAUCUGUUUGUGAAUCUGACCCCCACAGCUGUCUGUCUGGCUCCCUCAUCCCACACUCCUCUGGAAGGAAUUCCCAGGAGCAGUCUGGCCCCUGGGUGAGCCUGCUCCUUGAGGUCAGGAUGGUGACCUUGUGGUGGCUGGCUGGGUGGGGCUGGAAUGAAGGAGGUGAGGUGGGCACAUGGGGAUGGGUCCUGGGGCAAGUAGCCUAUUCUCGCUUGGCAGAGCAGGUGCAGAACAGAACAGACCUGGGGUUGCCCAACCCUGCUACGGGUAGCCAUGUGACCUUGUGGGAUCCAACCCCUUUGCCCCAAUGAGCCUCCAUCUCCUAGUUGGUAAUGGGAGUUAACACCUCCUCUGAAGUUGUUGGGAGGCUUACUUCAGAGGGUGCCCGUGAAGAUGCACAACAAAUGCAAGCAAUUAUUUGAGUCUUUGACCCUUCCAUUCAGCACCAAACUAUUCUAAAAGAACAGCUUCUUGUGGGACAGUUCUCUGCUAAGUUGCCCCAGUUCUAGUCUCUCUCUGGCUCUCAGAGACAGCCAGCUUCCACUUUUUCCAGAUCCUGUGAGACUUCCCUCCUCUGCUCUGCAUGGCUACUUCUGUGCAGAAUAAGAGUUUGGAGGUGUGAUCCCUACUGUCCCACGGCUCGGGGCAGAAUGGCAGAGGGCAGGGUCCCAGUGCUGGCUGUACCACGAGCCAGCUCACUCCAUUGCAGACUUGGAGCAGGUGCUUUCACCUCUCUUUGCUUUGAUUUCACCUUUUCCAAGCCCAGGAGGAGGCAGGUUAAGGGAGGUGAGCACCUUCCCCACGUCUCAGCUGGUACACAAUGAGUCAGAGUUCAACACCAGCAGUUGCACAGUCAUGGAAGGACAAGAGCCUUCAGUGGUAGAAGCUGGGAAGAUGGGAGCCAGGAGGCAGAGAGAUGGCCCAAGUCACAGCUCCAUGCAGGAGCGACAAUGUCAGAAAAUACCACCGGGAAGGAAACUUUUGUGUCAAGUCCAAUCCGAGCCUCCCCAUGGAUCAGGGAUGCUGAAUGUGGAGGAGAACAGAGGGAUGGGAAGGAGCGCCCGCCCUCCAUCAGAAUUCAGAUGCUUUCCCAGGUGCUUGGCAGAGACACCACAAGACCCCAGCAGAAUGCUGCAAUUCGGAGGAACCUUGGACAGUAGCCUCAUCGACCCCAUCACCCACUGGAGAGGACCCCACACCCCAGCGAGGACAGCCAGACCAGACUCGGGGUUCGCAGUGGUCUCAGCAUUUCUUUGAGCCAAGGAGGCCACCAGAAGUCAUACAGCAGAAAACAAGCAGGUCUAAAUAAAUAAGGUGGUGGUGACAUUUUCCGUAGUUUGUCUCCUGGAACCAUCUAGAGAAUCUGAGAAACAACUCUUCAGACUGUUGCUACCACCUUCAGGUCUGGGCUGAUCAAACACGGGUUGGUUAUAAUCAACCCCUUCCUCUCGCCGCUCCCUGAUCAUGAUGGAUUGAUCUGAUUUCAGGAAAGGGGCUGUGCUGGGGGUAGGGUUGUUGAUGUCCAUCCAGCUUGCACCUGGUAGUGACCCACAAAUCCCAUAAAGAAUCAUGGGCAGGACCCAGAACCUCAGCCAGCAGGAAGUGGACGCUCUUCUGGAUGAUUUGAAAGACCUGCUACUGGUCUCCAGUGCACAUGAAUGGAAGUCUGGGGAGAAGCCUGGCACCCAGGAAGGUCCAACUGCCAACCCAGGGGAAGCAAAGUCCCCAGGUACUGGCCAUUUGGGCGAGCUGCACGCUGAUAUCCAAGAUGCUGUGUGAGGAGAGGAGUACGAUGGGGACUCUGACCCCAAGGAGCUUGGAGCCCAGAGACACAGACACAGGCAGGGAGAGCAGAGGCCCGGAUGCAGCAGUACACUGUGCAGAAGAGACACCAUGGAGGGAGAAGUCAGCCACACUCCAGACUAGAGACUCGGCGAAGCAGAGUCAUUUCCCUGAGGACACACAGCAAACACAUGGCAACAGCGGGACUGGAGUCCAGGCCUCUGAUUCUAAAGGCUCUAAGACACUUUUCAUCCUGAUGCACCACAGUGACCACACUGAGGAGAACAAAGCAGGGGGUCUGUGAUCAGGGAACCACUUGGAGCUUCGUGGGUCUGGCAGAUGGAGGAACAAGGACCGAUGUUUUUCUUUUCCAGAUCCUUUGUUUCAUGCUGUGGGGCAAGAAAUCGCCCUCUGCAACACCAGGGUCAACACCAAGGCACACACAGGAGGCUGGGUCAGUUCCUGUGUGACCCUCUUGACACUGGGUAAACCCUGUAUGUGCAAGGUGGGCGCCAAGCCCCCGUGGCUUCUCCGGGGUGCAAGAGGGGGCUCUGAAACCAGCCAGGGUCCUCCAACCGCACGCACAGGGUGGCAGUGUUGCUUCUGUUCUCUUCCCCCAGGCCUGUCAGCUUCGGGUCCCCACAGCCCCACCAGCGCCCCUCCAGCCCCAGUCAGCUCUGGAGGUGGCUGGUCUGGCCCGUUGGGCCACAUUUCUCCUCCCUUCCCAGCUCUGUAACACCUGCCCCCCUUGCUGGGGACCUCUGCCUCCUACCCUGAGGGGAGAUUCCAGAACAGACAGCAGCGCCACCCUGCCGCCUGGGUGACAAAAUCCAGAAGCGAGUAAAUGGGUAUUUACUGAGUACCUGGAACUUGCCAGGCCCUUGAGAUAUUCAAUCCUCCUUGAGCUACCCUUUGAAGAUUAUCCUUUUAUUUACUUAUGAUGAAAGCAAGGCUCAGGGAGGCCGACCGCCCCGGGGCGUGCCGCUGGGAAAGCUGGGAGAAUUUUUCUAUCAUGAGUUGAAAUGGAGACUCUGAGAACAGCUCUGCCCCUGGCCCCGGCCCCAGCCCGUCCCCUCAGCGACAAGGGCCGCAUGCCCAAGUCCUCCUGUUGUACACCCUUGGCCGCUGGCUGACCCCAGCUCUACCUACUGACGGCGGGCCUGCAGGGGGCUCCCGCCGGGCCUGGCCCCAGGCCUAGGUCUGCCCAGGCCACCUCUUCCGUGGGCAGGAAGAGCUUGGCGCUUGGGUCACACGUGCUGCUACGGGGUCACUUCCACCGGCGACCAGGGCCUGAUCCCUGACAGCUUCUGGGUCUGAAAGUGAGAUCACAUCCUCACUUCACAAAGCGAGAGCGGGACAGAGGAGGCAGGGGAGGGACCUGCUCCAUAAUCAGGCGCAGCGCAACAACGAAAAGAUGGGUGAUAAUAGAGCGGAAACUAAGCCCCGGGCCCUUGGCAGGGCGGGGCUUGUGUGGUCCCGGGUCGCACUGCCCGAAGCAAGCGCCGGCGCUGCGGUGGGGUGCUUGGGACGCUGGAUCCCGGCCAGGCAGACACCAGCGCGCUAUCCCGAGUUUUCAGCGGGGCGCGCGCUCCAUCUAGCGGUCGAAGUGCAAACAGCACUCGCCGCCCUCAAGCUUGUGGACGCCGGGGCGCCUCGCAGUCAAAUCUGUCGCCCGGGUUUCCUACCUUCACACCCCGCGUCAGUCGCCACAU